Molecule: long non-coding RNA, 995 nt
Organism: Armigeres subalbatus
Lineage: Eukaryota; Metazoa; Arthropoda; Insecta; Diptera; Culicidae
Exons: 3
Source: RefSeq, a predicted model, not a curated record
GGCCGACGUCUUUUUUUUCACUGGGAUCAUUAUGACGUUUACGCUCUCGUUUUCGUUGAAUGGGUUGAAUGAGAAUGAGAGAACAGAACAUCGCAAGAGAAAGGUGAAUGAAAACUGUAAAUAUAAACGGUAAUGUUAGUUUUCUUGGAAUAAUAACGGCUUCCAGGAUGUCUGCACGAAUACCAUGUUCACCAAUACCAGCAAUAACAAUAUGGUUAUGACAAACACCAAAUAUGCGGAAUUGUACCUGCAUCGAAGACGAAGGCCCCGCGCAUAUCCUAAAAAAUGGAAAUAUACAACCAAAAGACAUCUUAAUGUUGUGAUAUGGACAGGAGAACAACCUGGAAUCGGAUAGCUAUCGAAACCAUCGAAACUGAUUGAUAAAGGCAGUGAAAGAGGAGAUAAGUUGUGCUAUUUCUGUGUGAACGUACGAAGUGUAAUUCAAUAAAUGUUCAAAACGAUGUUUAUUUUAUCAAUUCAAGGAUAACGGCAAAAAGGUUAACAAUCAAAUGUUUAACAUUAUUCUUCUAGUGAGCGCACAUAGUUUUGUAAGUAUGUUGGAGCUUUUCUAUUUCGUGAUGGACGUGCUGAAGUUUCUGUAUCCAAACGAGCCUUUUGGUGGUCAUCUGCGCGCCAAUCUGUGACUUUUUUAGUUUGCGUGACAUUCCUUCUGAGGAUUUGUCCUUCAUCGUUGCACAGUACCAGGUUACCAUUAUUCUCUUCUAGAACUGUGUAUUUUUGGGGGGCGAACCUCGCUUCACCCUUAGCUUUGCAAGUUCGUUCAACGAUUACUGUAUCACCCGGCAAUACAUUGCAUUUCCUGGCACCUCUCCUGACAUCUUCCCGUUGUUUUCCCUUAAGUUUCGCUUCUGCAUCUCUCUUGUCCAAAAGGUUGUCAUCGAAGUCGGCUUUCUUGUGGAUUAGAAGAGGCAGCCGGCGUUUGAUCUUCCUUCCUAGGAAAACUUCUUCGGGUGGGACCCCAGUUACUGCGUGAG